RNAcentral lists this ribosomal RNA (260 nucleotides) under uncultured bacterium. Its description in RNAcentral is "partial 16S ribosomal RNA". It matches the Rfam family "Bacterial small subunit ribosomal RNA", at positions 93 to 353 of the family's 1533-position model. The record is from RNAcentral.
GAGUGGCGAACGGGUGAGUAAUGCGUGACCGACCUGCCCCAUACACCGGAAUAGCUUCUGGAAACGGGUGGUAAUGCCGGAUGCUCCAGUUGAUCGCAUGGUCUUCUGGGAAAGCUUUCGCGGUAUGGGAUGGGGUCGCGUCCUAUCAGCUUGACGGCGGGGUAACGGCCCACCGUGGCUUCGACGGGUAGCCGGCCUGAGAGGGCGACCGGCCACAUUGGGACUGAGAUACGGCCCAGACUCCUACGGGAGGCAGCAUG